Molecule: ribosomal RNA, 1133 nt
Filed under: bacterium DPR3
Lineage: Bacteria
Description: bacterial SSU rRNA
Rfam family: Bacterial small subunit ribosomal RNA
Source: RNAcentral
UGGGCAAUUGGGGGCAGUCUAACCAUGCAGUCGAGCGGAUGCAGUGGAGCUUGCUCCUUGUAUUCAGCGGCGGACGGGUGAGUAAUGCCUAGGAAUCUGCCUGGUAGUGGGGGACAACGUUUCGAAAGGAACGCUAAUACCGCAUACGUCCUACGGGAGAAAGUGGGGGAUCUUCGGACCUCACGCUAUCAGAUGAGCCUAGGUCGGAUUAGCUAGUUGGUGAGGUAAAGGCUCACCAAGGCGACGAUCCGUAACUGGUCUGAGAGGAUGAUCAGUCACACUGGAACUGAGACACGGUCCAGACUCCUACGGGAGGCAGCAGUGGGGAAUAUUGGACAAUGGGCGAAAGCCUGAUCCAGCCAUGCCGCGUGUGUGAAGAAGGUCUUCGGAUUGUAAAGCACUUUAAGUUGGGAGGAAGGGCAGUAAGCUAAUACCUUGCUGUUUUGACGUUACCGACAGAAUAAGCACCGGCUAACUUCGUGCCAGCAGCCGCGGUAAUACGAAGGGUGCAAGCGUUAAUCGGAAUUACUGGGCGUAAAGCGCGCGUAGGUGGUUCGUUAAGUUGGAUGUGAAAGCCCCGGGCUCAACCUGGGAACUGCAUCCAAAACUGGCGAGCUAGAGUAUGGCAGAGGGUGGUGGAAUUUCCUGUGUAGCGGUGAAAUGCGUAGAUAUAGGAAGGAACACCAGUGGCGAAGGCGACCACCUGGGCUAAUACUGACACUGAGGUGCGAAAGCGUGGGGAGCAAACAGGAUUAGAUACCCUGGUACUCCACGCCGUAAACGAUGUCGACUAGCCGUUGGGAUCCUUGAGAUCUUAGUGGCGCAGCUAACGCAUUAAGUCGACCGCCUGGGGAGUACGGCCGCAAGGUUAAAACUCAAAUGAAUUGACGGGGCCCGCACAAGCGGUGGAGCAUGUGUUUUAAUUCGAAGCAACGCGAAGAAUCCUUACCACGUCUUGACAUGCAGAGACUUCAGAAGAUGAUGUGCGUCGGUACUCUGACACAGAUGACUGCAUGGCUGUCGUCAGCUCUGUCUGAAAUGUGGAUUAGUCCGUAACAGACGACACCUUGUUCUUAUUACACACGUAAGGUGGUCAUCUCUCAGAUAACUGCGGUUACACGAGAACGUGGAUA